Molecule: non-coding RNA, 72 nt
Organism: Podarcis lilfordi (Lilford's wall lizard)
Lineage: Eukaryota; Metazoa; Chordata; Lepidosauria; Squamata; Lacertidae
Source: the annotation of a GenBank genome assembly
GGGGCUGUAGCUCAGUGGUGUAGCACCUGCUAUGCAUGCAAAAGGCCCUAGGUUCAAUCCCCAGCAUCUCUA